This 496-nucleotide ribosomal RNA is filed under the name uncultured bacterium. Its description in RNAcentral is "partial 16S ribosomal RNA". It matches the Rfam family "Bacterial small subunit ribosomal RNA", at positions 28 to 506 of the family's 1533-position model. The record is from RNAcentral.
GAUGAACGCUGGCGGCGUGCCUAAUACAUGCAAGUCGAGCGAACAGAUGAGGAGCUUGCUCCUCUGACGUUAGCGGCGGACGGGUGAGUAACACGUGGAUAACCUACCUAUAAGACUGGGAUAACUUCGGGAAACCGGAGCUAAUACCGGAUAAUAUAUUGAACCGCAUGGUUCAAUAGUGAAAGACGGUUUUGCUGUCACUUAUAGAUGGAUCCGCGCCGCAUUAGCUAGUUGGUAAGGUAACGGCUUACCAAGGCAACGAUGCGUAGCCGACCUGAGAGGGUGAUCGGCCACACUGGAACUGAGACACGGUCCAGAGUCCUACGGGAGGCAGAAGUAGGGAAUCUUCCGCAAUGGGCGAAAGCCUGACGGAGCAACGCCGCGUGAGUGAUGAAGGUCUUCGGAUCGUAAAACGCUGUUAUUAGGGAAGAACAAAUGUGUAAGUAACUAUGCACGUCUUGACGGUACCGAAUCAGAAAGCCACGGCUAACUACGG